GGGUGCGAGCGUUAAUCGGAAUUACUGGGCGUAAAGCGGGCGCAGACGGUUACUUAAGCAGGAUGUGAAAUCCCCGGGCUCAACCCGGGAACUGCGUUCUGAACUGGGUGACUCGAGUGUGUCAGAGGGAGGUGGAAUUCCACGUGUAGCAGUGAAAUGCGUAGAGAUGUGGAGGAAUACCGAUGGCGAAGGCAGCCUCCUGGGAUAACACUGACGUUCAUGUCCGAAAGCGUGGGUAGCAAACAGGAUUAGAUACCCUGGUAGUCCACGCCCUAAACGAUGUCAAUUAGCUGUUGGGCAACUUGAUUGCUUGGUAGCGUAGCUAACGCGUGAAAUUGACCGCCUGGGGAGUACGGUCGCAAGAUUAAAACUCAAAGGAAUUGACGGGGACCCGCACAAGCGGUGGAUGAUGUGGAUUAAUUCGAUGCAACGCGAAGAACCUUACCUGGUUUUGACAUGUGCGGAAUCCUCCGGAGACGGAGGAGUGCCUUCGGGAGCCGUAACACAGGUGCUGCAUGGCUGUCGUCAGCUCGUGUCGUGAGAUGUUGGGUUAAGUCCCGCAACGAGCGCAACCCUUGUCAUUAGUUGCCAUCAUUCGGUUGGGCACUCUAAUGAGACUGCCGGUGACAAGCCGGAGGAAGGUGGGGAUGACGUCAAGUCCUCAUGGCCCUUAUGACCAGGGCUUCACACGUCAUACAAUGGUCGGUACAGAGGGUAGCCAAGCCGCGAGGCGGAGCCAAUCUCACAAAACCGAUCGUAGUCCGGAUUGCACUCUGCAACUCGAGUGCAUGAAGUCGGAAUCGCUAGUAAUCGCAGGUCAGCAUACUGCGGUGAAUACGUUCCCGGGUCUUGUACACACCGCCCGUCACACCAUGGGAGUGGGGGAUACCAGAAGUAGGUAGGGUAACCGCAAGGAGUCCGCUUACCACGGUAUGCUUCAUGACUGGGGUGAAGUCGUAACAAGGUAGCCGUAGGGGAACCUGCGGCUGGAUCACCUCCUUUCUAGAG
RNAcentral lists this ribosomal RNA (1008 nucleotides) under Neisseria gonorrhoeae. Its description in RNAcentral is "bacterial SSU rRNA". It matches the Rfam family "Bacterial small subunit ribosomal RNA", at positions 530 to 1533 of the family's 1533-position model. The record is from RNAcentral. Lineage: Bacteria; Pseudomonadati; Pseudomonadota; Betaproteobacteria; Neisseriales; Neisseriaceae.